CGGCAGCUCCUCGCUCUCCCCCGAUCCCCGCCGUCACCGUCACCGAGUUCCACAUCUCUGGCCUCAGCCUCGUCGUCAACCCCAGGCCCUUCCCCCGCGGUCGCAUCUCCUUCUUCUACUGCUCCAGCUUCCGUGACUCCACCGCCGUCCGCUCCUUAGCUAAAGAGGAAGGACUGAACGACCAUUGCUUGGAGAUAGUGGAGAUUGCUGCUCUUCUUCAUGACAUUGGAGACUACAAGUAUACCAAAGACUUGGUUGAGGAUAUAUCAAAUCCUGAAGAAGUUUCUCAAGAAAGAGGGAUUGAAAGAUAACAAACCAGAGAAAAUAUUGAGCAUCAUAAAAGGAAUGGUUUGCUGCUUAAGGUCCUCCUUGUAUUAGAGGACAAGGACGUCAUCGAUUUCACCCCUUCAGGUUAGAGGCUCCCGUAGGGAGCAGUAGUACGAUACGACGUUCUAAUGCAGGCGAUGCUGAUAACAAGGAUGCCGACAACAACGAUGACGAGGAGUGAGUGAGACUUGUGUUAAGACAAAUUAUGACUUUUGAAUUUUACUUAUAUGUAAUAUAUUUGUGUUUUUUAUUGCGUAGUGGAUGAAUAUUAUUUGAGCAUGCGAGAUAUAUUGUGAUUGUGAUUAGAUGAUGAGUAUUGUUCGAUAAUAUGGAUUGACAGAUGAAAUUGGAUGAGUAUUUAUUUUGAAUGUGAA
Asparagus officinalis (garden asparagus) is the source of this 701-nucleotide long non-coding RNA. RefSeq lists it as uncharacterized. The record is from RefSeq and is a predicted model, not a curated record. NCBI's taxonomy places the organism in Eukaryota, Viridiplantae, Streptophyta, Magnoliopsida, Asparagales, Asparagaceae. The transcript has 6 exons.